GGAGAGAUGGCUGAGUGUAAUAAAGCAUUGGAUUGCUAACCUGUUGUGCGAGUUAUUCGUACCGAGGGUUCAAAUCCCUCUCUUUCCG
Molecule: non-coding RNA, 88 nt
Organism: Gossypium raimondii (Peruvian cotton)
Lineage: Eukaryota; Viridiplantae; Streptophyta; Magnoliopsida; Malvales; Malvaceae
Source: Rfam